This 468-nucleotide ribosomal RNA is filed under the name uncultured bacterium. RNAcentral describes it as "partial 16S ribosomal RNA". It matches the Rfam family "Bacterial small subunit ribosomal RNA", at positions 28 to 507 of the family's 1533-position model. The record is from RNAcentral.
GACGAACGCUGGCGGCGUGCUUAACACAUGCAAGUCGAACGGAAAGGCCCUGCUUUUGUGUGGUGCUCGAGUGGCGAACGGGUGAGUAACACGUGAGUAACCUGCCCUUUACUUUGGGAUAACUUCAGGAAACUGGGGCUAAUACCGGAUAGUAGCUCCUGCUGCAUGGUGUGGGUUGGAAAGUUUCGGCGGUUGGGGAUGGACUCGCGGCUUAUCAGCUUGUUGGUGGGGUAGUGGCUUACCAAGGCUUUGACGGGUAGCCGGCCUGAGAGGGUGACCGGCCACAUUGGGACUGAGAUACGGCCCAGACUACUACGGGAGGCAGCAGUGGGGAAUAUUGCACAAUGGGCGGAAGCCUGAUGCAGCAACGCCGCGUGAGGGAUGACGGCCUUCGGGUUGUAAACCGCUUUCGCCUGUGACGAAGCGUGAGUGAAGGUAAUGGGUAAAGAAGCACCGGCUAACUACGUG